Molecule: ribosomal RNA, 459 nt
Filed under: uncultured bacterium
Lineage: Bacteria
Description: partial 16S ribosomal RNA
Rfam family: Bacterial small subunit ribosomal RNA
Source: RNAcentral
CCUACGGGAGGCAGCAGUGAGGAAUAUUGGUCAAUGGGCGUGAGCCUGAACCAGCCAAGCCGCGUGAAGGAAGAAGGCGCCAUGCGUCGUAAACUUCUUUUAUCGGGGAACAAAGUGCGCCACGCGUGGCGUUUUGAGUGUACCCGAAGAAAAAGCAUCGGCUAACUCCGUGCCAGCAGCCGCGGUAAUACGGAGGAUGCGAGCGUUAUCCGGAUUUAUUGGGUUUAAAGGGUGCGUAGGCGGUCCGGAAAGUCAGCGGUAAACGCCCGGGGCUCAACCCCGGCGAGCCGUUGAAACUGUCGGACUAGAGACGGCGAGAAGUACGCGGAAUGCGCGGUGUAGCGGUGAAAUGCAUAGAUAUCGCGCAGAACUCCGAUUGCGAAGGCAGCGUACCGGCGCCGGACUGACGCUGAGGCACGAAAGCGUGGGUAUCGAACAGGAUUAGAUACCCUAGUAGUU